CGCGCAGGCGGUCUUGUCCGUCAGGUGUGAAAGCUCGGGGGCUCAACCCCCGGGAAGUGCACUUGAAACAGCAAGACUUGAAUACGGGAGAGGAGAGAGGAAUUCCUGGUGUAGAGGUGAAAUUCGUAGAUAUCAGGAGGAACACCGAUGGCGAAGGCAUCUCUCUGGACCGAUAUUGACGCUGAGGCGCGAAGGCGUGGGUAGCGAACG
This 210-nucleotide ribosomal RNA is filed under the name uncultured bacterium. Its description in RNAcentral is "partial 16S ribosomal RNA". It matches the Rfam family "Bacterial small subunit ribosomal RNA", at positions 568 to 774 of the family's 1533-position model. The record is from RNAcentral.